UCCUGGCUCAGGAUGAACGCUAGCUACAGGCUUAACACAUGCAAGUCGAGGGGCAGCGAGAAGAAAGCUUGCUUCUUGCCGGCGACCGGCGCACGGGUGAGUAACGCGUAUCCAACCUUCCCCUUAGUAGGGCAUAGCCCGGCGAAAGUCGGAUUAAUACCCUAUGUUAUUCGUAGAGGACAUCUGAAAUGAAUCAAAGAUUUAUCGCUAAGGGAUGGGGAUGCGUCUGAUUAGGUAGUAGGCGGGGUAACGGCCCACCUAGCCUACGAUCAGUAGGGGUUCUGAGAGGAAGGUCCCCCACAUUGGAACUGAGACACGGUCCAAACUCCUACGGGAGGCAGCAGUGAGGAAUAUUGGUCAAUGGACGAGAGUCUGAACCAGCCAAGUAAGCGUGCAGGAUGACGGCCCUAUGGGUUGUAAACUGCUUUUAUACGGGGAUAAAGUGAGGGACGUGUCCCUUUUUGUAGGUACCGUAUGAAUAAGGACCGGCUAAUUCCGUGCCAGCAGCGGC
RNAcentral lists this ribosomal RNA (511 nucleotides) under uncultured bacterium. RNAcentral's name for it is "bacterial SSU rRNA". It matches the Rfam family "Bacterial small subunit ribosomal RNA", at positions 17 to 518 of the family's 1533-position model. The record is from RNAcentral.